CCUACGGGAGGCAGCAGUGGGGAAUAUUGCACAAUGGGCGAAAGCCUGAUGCAGCAACGCCGCGUGAGCGAUGAAGGCCCUCUGGUCGUAAAGCUCUGUCCUCAAGGAAGAUAAUUACGGUACUUGAGGAGGAAGCCUCGGCUAACUACGUUCCAGCAGCCGCGGUAAUACGUAGGGGGCUAGCGUUAUCCGGAAUUACUGGGCGGAAAGGGGGCGUAGGUGGUUUCUUAAGUCAGAGGUGAAAGGCUACGGCUCAACCGUAGUAAGCCUUUAAAAAUGGGGAACUUGAGUGCAGGAGAGGAGAGUGGAAUUCCUAGUGUAGCGGUGAAAUGCGUAGAUAUUAGGAGGAACACCAGUUGCGAAGGCGGCUCGCUGGACUGUAACUGACACUGAGGCACGAAAGCGUGGGGAGCAAACAGGAUUAGAUACCCUGGUAGUC
This 439-nucleotide ribosomal RNA is filed under the name uncultured bacterium. Its description in RNAcentral is "partial 16S ribosomal RNA". It matches the Rfam family "Bacterial small subunit ribosomal RNA", at positions 338 to 795 of the family's 1533-position model. The record is from RNAcentral.